RNAcentral lists this transfer RNA (68 nucleotides) under Mexistrophia reticulata. Its description in RNAcentral is "tRNA-Thr". The record is from RNAcentral. Lineage: Eukaryota; Metazoa; Mollusca; Gastropoda; Stylommatophora; Cerionidae.
UCUAAAAUGUAACUUAAGAUAAAGUAAUGAAUUUGUAAUUCAAUUAUGGUAAUCAUACCCUUUUAGAA